Long non-coding RNA from Lytechinus pictus (painted urchin), 1722 nucleotides. RefSeq lists it as uncharacterized. The transcript has 3 exons. The record is from RefSeq and is a predicted model, not a curated record. NCBI's taxonomy places the organism in Eukaryota, Metazoa, Echinodermata, Echinoidea, Temnopleuroida, Toxopneustidae.
ACUUCGAAGCCAAGGGAUACAUUGCAUUGAUCGGAAUUAGAUUGUUUGGAUUACUUGGAACAUUGGCGCUAUGGGGGACAAACCACCGCCUGGUCCUACGACCAACGAGCCACCACGGCAUGGUGGAUCCAGAUUCACUCUGAUACCCGCAAGAGGAAUGGUAAUGCAUGUCUUAAUCCCAUGGUUCUUUGGAAUGGUUUCUUUCUACAUCUACGAGACAUUCUGGCGCAAAUAGGAUCACCCACAAAAAAAGAAAACUUGGACGACGUUAAAUGACCCAUCUUCAAUGCAGGAAUGUAUAAUCGUCACGUAGACGCUAUUUUAUAGAUAAGUAUUGUAAUCGGUAGCUGCUUUGGUAUCCAUUUUGUUUAAUAUCACUUAUCUUAUUUCAAACGUAUGUUUCACAUUUGUUUAAAGUUAACGAAUCUGCCAAACCUUGUAUUUCAUUCUGUAACAUUUAGAAUCAUACUUUAUUGUAUACAUACAUUUGUAAUUUUACGUUUGCUCUCUUUGUAUAUAUAUGUAAAUCUAUUUUGUAUUUUUAAGGGCCCCAACGAAAACUAGAGUUUGUGCUGAUUGGGCUUUUUUUUUAAUAUGUGAAAUAAAUAAUAAAUAAAUGAUAACCCUAAUGUUGGAUUUAUACAAAGAAAUAUAUAUUGUAAUAAAUUGACUUGGUAAAAUCUAUUGCGCAACCGGUCAUUUAAUAACGCUAGAGAAAAAUAAUAUGCUCUUUUAGUGGCUUGGAUUACUACACAAUCUUUUCGGUUAUCCCGCGGGCUUUUGAGAACUGUUCCAAAUGUACCCAGUCCGUGUAAUUUUUUAACAUUGCCUUUGGUGAAUAUUUAUGUAAUAAUUAUAAAUAAUUAUGUAAUAAUUAUGUAAUAAUACAGGUACUAUAAUGCUCGUUUUAUCAACCCAUCGUUGUAUGUAAAAAAAAAAUAAUAAUAAGACAGCUCUAAUUAUAAUGCUAUUUUCAAGAGUUUUUCUCAUGACUAACUCGCUUUGUUUAGGAAUGGUAGAUUUAGGUGUUGUAAGUACACUGAAAAAAUGUGUGAACCCUACAUAUUUCGGGUGUCUUUGAUAUAGUGUAAACACGAGAAGCUUUAAGACAACACAUUCUGGUUUGACGCAAAUACAAGAUAGAAACUGAAAUAAUGCCAGAUUUAUUGUAAACUAGUAAUACAUUCAAUCUGCGUUGAUAAUUAUAAAUUAUCCAUGUAGAUUCUGGACUGAUGUUGAAUUAACAUCCUGGUCUUGCAGUUUGCAAAUUAUUGAUGCCGUAUUUACUUAAGAAUUUGGUCUUAUAGACACUUUUAAUGAUGUAAAUGAGAGGGGUGAACUUUUGUUGUUGAAGACAUGAUGAGCUUAUAUAAAAAAAAAACUCCUAAGUGUAAAAUGAUAAUUUUGAGUGGUAUAAUACAUAAGUAACAACUUUUAAAUAGAUUUAGUUAUUAUGGUUAUUAUUGCAUUGAAUAUUACAAAAGAAAUGUAGUAUCGUGUACUAGAUUGAGUGUAGAUUCAACCCCCCCCCCAAAAAAAAAAAAAAAAAAAAUGAAGAUAAAAAAUAAAUUUUUAAUAUCAUUAAUACAGUUUAAAAUAACAAUUGGACGCUGGAUGCAUUCUCAAAGCUUAAUAUAAGCUUAAUGUAAAACAAAUUAUCAUUCUAUUAAAUCAGAAUUAUAUCCAUUGAUUACAGAAUUAAAGAAUUAUAUUAAUUUCUGC